GACGAACGCUGGCGGCGUGCUUAACACAUGCAAGUCGAACGGACAGGCCCUGCUCUUGUGGGGUGCUCGAGUGGCGAACGGGUGAGUAACACGUGAGUAACCUGCCCUUGACUUUGGGAUAACUUCAGGAAACUGGGGCUAAUACCGGAUAGGAGCUCCUGCUGCAUGGGGUUGGUUGGAAAGUUUCGGCGGUAGGGGAUGGACUCGCGGCUUAUCCGCUUGUUGGUGGGGUAGUUGCUUACCAAGGCUUUGACGGGUAGCCGGCCUGAGAGGGUGACCGGCCACAUUGGGACUGAGAUACGGCCCAGACUCCUACGGGAGGCAGCAGUGGGGAAUAUUGCACAAUGGGCGGAAGCCUGAUGCAGCAACGCCGCGUGCGGGAUGACGGCCUUCGGGUUGUAAACCGCUUUCGCCUGUGACGAAGCGUGAGUGACGGUAAUGGGUAAAGAAGCACCGGCUAACUACGUG
RNAcentral lists this ribosomal RNA (468 nucleotides) under uncultured bacterium. RNAcentral's name for it is "partial 16S ribosomal RNA". It matches the Rfam family "Bacterial small subunit ribosomal RNA", at positions 28 to 507 of the family's 1533-position model. The record is from RNAcentral.